This 69-nucleotide transfer RNA is filed under the name Ictidomys tridecemlineatus (thirteen-lined ground squirrel). RNAcentral describes it as "Spermophilus tridecemlineatus (thirteen-lined ground squirrel) tRNA". It matches the Rfam family "tRNA". Rfam says of the family: Transfer RNA (tRNA) molecules are approximately 80 nucleotides in length. Their secondary structure includes four short double-helical elements and three loops (D, anti-codon, and T loops). Lineage: Eukaryota; Metazoa; Chordata; Mammalia; Rodentia; Sciuridae. The record is from Rfam by way of RNAcentral.
GGGACUGUAGCUCAAUGGUAGAGCACUUGCCUCACACGUGUGAGUCACUGGGUUCCAACCUCAGCACCA